This 497-nucleotide ribosomal RNA is filed under the name uncultured bacterium. Its description in RNAcentral is "partial 16S ribosomal RNA". It matches the Rfam family "Bacterial small subunit ribosomal RNA", at positions 28 to 507 of the family's 1533-position model. The record is from RNAcentral.
GAUGAACGCUGGCGGCGUGCCUAAUACAUGCAAGUCGAGCGAACAGACGAGGAGCUUGCUCCUCUGACGUUAGCGGCGGACGGGUGAGUAACACGUGGAUAACCUACCUAUAAGACUGGGAUAACUUCGGGAAACCGGAGCUAAUACCGGAUAAUAUAUUGAACCGCAUGGUUCAAUAGUGAAAGACGGUUUUGCUGUCACUUAUAGAUGGAUCCGCGCUGCAUUAGCUAGUUGGUAAGGUAACGGCUUACCAAGGCAACGAUGCGUAGCCGACCUGAGAGGGUGAUCGGCCACACUGGAACUGAGACACGGUCCAGACUCCUACGGGAGGCAGCAGUAGGGAAUCCUCCGCAAUGGGCGAAAGCCUGACGGAGCAAUGCCGCGUGAGUGAUGAAGGUCUUCGGAUCGUAAAACUCUGUUAUUAGGGAAGAACAAAUGUGUAAGUAACUAUGCACGUCUUGACGGUACCUAAUCAGAAAGCCACGGCUAACUACGUG